This 492-nucleotide ribosomal RNA is filed under the name uncultured bacterium. Its description in RNAcentral is "partial 16S ribosomal RNA". It matches the Rfam family "Bacterial small subunit ribosomal RNA", at positions 29 to 507 of the family's 1533-position model. The record is from RNAcentral.
AGUGAACGCUGGCGGUAGGCCUAACACAUGCAAGUCGAACGGCAGCACAGUAAGAGCUUGCUCUUACGGGUGGCGAGUGGCGGACGGGUGAGGAAUACAUCGGAAUCUACUUUUUCGUGGGGGAUAACGUAGGGAAACUUACGCUAAUACCGCAUACGACCUACGGGUGAAAGCAGGGGAUCUUCGGACCUUGCGCGAUUGAAUGAGCCGAUGUCGGAUUAGCUAGUUGGCGGGGUAAAGGCCCACCAAGGCGACGAUCCGUAGCUGGUCUGAGAGGAUGAUCAGCCACACUGGAACUGAGACACGGUCCAGACUCCUACGGGAGGCAGCAGUGGGGAAUAUUAGACAGUGGGCGCAAGCCUGAUCCAGCCAUACCGCGUGGGUGAAGAAGGCCUUCGGGUUGUAAAGCCCUUUUGUGGGGAAAGAAAAGCAGCAGGUUAAUACCCCGCUGUUCUGACGGUACCCAAAGAAUAAGCACCGGCUAACUUCGUG